Molecule: ribosomal RNA, 527 nt
Filed under: uncultured bacterium
Lineage: Bacteria
Description: bacterial SSU rRNA
Rfam family: Bacterial small subunit ribosomal RNA
Source: RNAcentral
AGAGUUUGAUCCUGGCUCAGGAUGAACGCUAGCGGCAGGCCUAAUACAUGCAAGUCGGACGGGAUUCAGGGAGUAGCUUGCUACGAACUGAUGAGAGUGGCGCACGGGUGCGUAACGCGUGAGCAACCUACCCAUAUCAGGGGGAUAGCCUCUCGAAAGAGAGAUUAACACCGCAUAACAUCAUUUACCGGCAUCGGUUUUUGAUCAAAUAUUUAUAGGAUAUGGAUGGGCUCGCGUGACAUUAGCUAGUUGGAGAGGUAACGGCUCACCAAGGCUACGAUGUCUAGGGGCUCUGAGAGGAGAAUCCCCCACACUGGUACUGAGACACGGACCAGACUCCUACGGGAGGCAGCAGUAAGGAAUAUUGGUCAAUGGAGGCAACUCUGAACCAGCCAUGCCGCGUGCAGGAUGACUGCCCUAUGGGUUGUAAACUGCUUUUGUCAGGGAAUAAACCUUUCUACGUGUAGGAAGCUGAAUGUACCUGAAGAAUAAGGAUCGGCUAACUCCGUGCCAGCAGCCGCGGUAAU